CCUACGGGAGGCAGCAGUGGGGGAUAUUGCACAAUGGGGGAAACCCUGAUGCAGCGACGCCGCGUGUGGGAAGACGGUCCUCUGGAUUGUAAACCACUGUCCCCAGGGACGAAGAUGACGGUACCUGGGGAGGAAGCUCCGGCUAACUACGUGCCAGCAGCCGCGGUAAUACGGAGGGUGCGAGCGUUAUCCGGAUUUAUUGGGUUUAAAGGGUGCGCAGGCGGAAGAUCAAGUCAGCGGUAAAAUUGAGAGGCUCAACCUCUUCGAGCCGGUGAAACUGGUUUUCUUGAGUGAGCGAGAAGUAUGCGGAAUGCGUGGUGUAGCGGUGAAAUGCAUAGAUAUCACGCAGAACUCCGAUUGCGAAGGCAGCAUACCGGCGCUCAACUGACGCGCAUGCACGAAAGUGUGGGUAUCGAACAGGAUUAGAUACCCUGGUAGUC
Molecule: ribosomal RNA, 440 nt
Filed under: uncultured bacterium
Lineage: Bacteria
Description: partial 16S ribosomal RNA
Rfam family: Bacterial small subunit ribosomal RNA
Source: RNAcentral